This 244-nucleotide long non-coding RNA is filed under the name Spirodela polyrhiza (greater duckweed). RNAcentral describes it as "long non-coding RNA (SPOL_LNC001946)". The record is from RNAcentral. Lineage: Eukaryota; Viridiplantae; Streptophyta; Magnoliopsida; Alismatales; Araceae.
CCCUUUCCAUGAAAUAAUGUAAUUAAUGCCUUCAUUCGAUAUAAUCCAUUUUAGAUAAAUCAACAAGUGAUUGCAAAAUACUAAAUUUCAAAAAUAUAAAUUUCAUUAUUAAUAAUAUAAAAACACCUUAAAACUUUCUUGUACAUUCAUAAUACAUUUAUUGAAGCAAAAGUCGUCAACCUUCUGCAACAUUAGGAUGUAAAACGUUUCAGAACGAGUGUGAAGAAGGCACACUGUAUCUUGG